GGAAACGACUGCUAAUACCCAAUAAGCCGCAAGGUGAAAGAUUUAUCGCUGGAAGAGGAGCUCGCGUCCGAUUAGUUAGUUGGUGGGGUAAGAGCCUACCAAGGCAGCGAUCGGUAGCUGGUCUGAGAGGAUGAGCAGCCACACUGGGACUGAGACACGGCCCAGACUCCUACGGGAGGCAGCAGUGGGGAAUUUUCCGCAAUGGGCGAAAGCCUGACGGAGCAAUACCGCGUGAGGGAGGAAGGCUUUUGGGUUGUAAACCUCUUUUCUCAAGGAAGAAAAAAAUGACGGUACUUGAGGAAUCAGCAUCGGCUAACUCCGUGCCAGCAGCCGCGGUAAUACGGAGGAUGCAAGCGUUAUCCGGAAUUAUUGGGCGUAAAGCGUCCGCAGGUGGCAUAUCAAGUCUGCUGUCAAAGACCGAAGCUCAACUUCGGGCAGGCAGUGGAAACUGGUAAGCUAGAGUACGGUAGGGAUAGAGGGAAUUUCCAGUGUAGCGGUGAAAUGCGUAGAGAUUGGAAAGAACACCAGUGGCGAAGGCGCUCUACUGGACCUGUACUGACACUCAGGGACGAAAGCU
Molecule: ribosomal RNA, 577 nt
Filed under: uncultured cyanobacterium
Lineage: Bacteria; Bacillati; Cyanobacteriota
Description: bacterial SSU rRNA
Rfam family: Bacterial small subunit ribosomal RNA
Source: RNAcentral